RNAcentral lists this ribosomal RNA (29 nucleotides) under Bjerkandera adusta. RNAcentral describes it as "partial 18S ribosomal RNA". The record is from RNAcentral. Lineage: Eukaryota; Fungi; Basidiomycota; Agaricomycetes; Polyporales; Phanerochaetaceae.
AUAAAAGGUUUUCCGUAGGUGACCUGCGG